This is a long non-coding RNA of Corapipo altera (White-ruffed manakin), 854 nucleotides long. RefSeq lists it as uncharacterized. The record is from RefSeq and is a predicted model, not a curated record. Lineage: Eukaryota; Metazoa; Chordata; Aves; Passeriformes; Pipridae. The transcript is spliced from 3 exons.
CGGGGGGCCGUGCGGGCCCGGCACGGGGAAGGCGGCAGCCCCGGGCGCUUUGGGACCCCACGGGCGGCUGUGAGGCCUCCCAGAGGUGGCCGGUGCAGCUAAUCCAGCCCCCCGAGUACUAGUCCCAGUGGAACGUGAUGGGAGCUUUGCCUGGCAAGGAAUUACUCUGUCCAGUACUGGGUUCUUCAGUACAAGAAAGAAAAGGAGCUACUGGAGAAGGUUCAGAGGAGAGCCAUAAAGAUGAUUAGAGGUCUGGAACAUCUCUCUUAUGAGGAGAAACUACAGGACCUGAGCCUGAAUUGUCUAGAGAUGAGAAGACUGAGAGAGGAUCUCAUCAAUGGCCUAUAAGUAUCUCAAAGGUAGCAAGAAAUUCAAGCACGUGUUGUCUCAGGCAAAUAAAGUAACCUUACAAAUUGCAUUUGAAGGAUUAGUGUCACCUUUGAUGUACCUGGAUCCAGCUCACUACAACCAUCUCACAAAAAGGACCCACUUGUGCAAGAGAGUGCUAACUCUCUGACAUUACCUGUAUGCACUAAAGAAAAGAUCUCUGACUUCAACACACUUGAGAAAAGGAAGUUUUGGACAAGACAUGCUAGAUGGUGGAAACCUCCUAAAUUAAAGCAUUAGGAAGUCAGAAAGGGACUGAACCAUGCUUUUGUGUUCUCUCUCUUUCAGUUCUGAUCUUUUUUUCAUAGAAGUUCAAUAUUCUUGAGAGAAAAUAUGUUGAGAUAAAUUUAUCAUAAUGCCAUGAUCAACAGGAACCUUCAGCUAACAGCAGUCAGCCUACAUGGCUGGAAAAUAUGUAAUUUAUUUAUCACCUCUACCCAGAAAGCUUUCUAGCAAGAACAUGUAAU